RNAcentral lists this long non-coding RNA (4571 nucleotides) under Triticum aestivum (bread wheat). RNAcentral describes it as "long non-coding RNA (TAES_LNC026037)". The record is from RNAcentral. Lineage: Eukaryota; Viridiplantae; Streptophyta; Magnoliopsida; Poales; Poaceae.
GAAGGUUCUGGUCCUCGCCAUUGAGACUACCGUGUUCGUCGCCGAGUACAUCUGGUAUGUACGCAACGAACCUCCCUAAUGCAAUGUCGCUGCUGUUUAUUUCAUCUUUUGAUUGCGGCAGACUAUAUUCCACUAAGGCACAUUAGGGAGUAGCUUUGGGAUAGGGGCCAAACCUGCAUAUUUUGAUCAAUUAUUUUUAUUAGAUUAGCAAUGGGAGCUUACUGUUCAGUGAGGAUUUUCCCCCUUAAAGUCAUAUUGUUAAUAUCCAAAAAAUUUAAUGGGUGGGUGGUGAUGUCCCACUGCUUUGCCCUUUUAAUUCCAGCACUUAAAUAAGAAUUGGAGGGUAGACGUUGCACAAAUGGAUCAUGUGGCAUUUACUACUGUUGUAUUAUCAUAUCUAGCAUCUCUCUAUAAAAAAUAAAUCUAGCAUUAGUUUUGAACUUCUGAUGAUGUAAGGUAAACACAGAGGCAUAUCUUCGUCAUAGUUGCAUCCUUUAUAGCAGAGAUUUUGUUAUGAAAAAAUUAUUUUGUUGAUGGAAGCCUUUGUGCUUCUGUCACUUGGACGUGAAGUUUUUGUAGACAAUCUUAGGACGUGAAGUGGGAUGCAACAUCUAUAGAUCUACUGACACUGAAAGGUGGUUGUUAGUUAGGUUCUGAUUGUGCCAAUCAAUAAUACACAAUUGUUACUAGGGUUCGGCUACGGAUGCCAUCCAUCAACUCAUGUUUUAAAGUGUGCUUGUGAGAUGCAAUCCGAUCUCUCUAUCUUUCCCGCUGAGAUGCAGAGGAGCUCGGUGUUUUAGGGCCUGGCUGUUGCUGCAGGGGAAGGUGGAGCUGCGAGGAAACAAGACAGGUGGACAAUGCGACAGGAAGCAAGAAUGAAUUUCUAAUCAAUCUACUGUUUCCCUUGAGUCGGGGGGAACGUACCACGCACCACGUUGUGUUUAUUGAUCUGGAAUCCUAGAGGAUCACCCACCCUCGUAAUUCAGUAUUGAGAUGAUCUCCUUAAUUUCUCAAAUGUGUUUUAUUAAAUUGGAUUCCUGUAAUUAUCCUUGCUCUAAUUUGAUAGUUUUACCCUCCCGAGCAUGUUGUGCUUCCAUAAAAACAUGAAUAUUUCUCAGCCAUUUUAUUGAAAAUGUAGUCGUAUGCUUUCACAUUGACUCUGGAUAUUCUCCUAAACGAAGGUCAAGAACAAUUGAUUUUAUCGGCAACAGGAGGCGCUUAUCAGUCGCCAUCAAGUGCCUCAACCAGUGCGGCGUCCAGGUACACACAUUGCUUCAUCUCCUGUGCUAUCUCAUCGUCUAGACAAUAUAUCCAUGGGUGACCCCUAUACUCACCUCAUCUCCAGAUUAGAACAUAAGUGUCGUAGGAGGGUAGGAUCUAGGCAACUGCAGUACUGAUUGUCCAGCUAGGCAACAAAGUCGACGGGGCAAAUAACAUAAUCUUCAGAUAAAGUUAUAUUCGAAAGUCAGUAGGCUUUUCAUGAUUGCCAGUGGUAAAACAAGCAUAUAUUUCUUUUGAUUAUUGACAUAGCACAGCUUAGUAGGGUGGACCAACCAACAUUGGGUUUGGGAGGUCAUUUAAUAGGAAACACUUCGCUGCAAGUUUCUUCACCAUUGAACACAAUUCAUCACAAGACUUUAUAUAUGUUGGCUGUCAUGCAUGUACGUCUGCAACUAAAUAAUUACAGGAUGUUGUGUGCUUGUUCUAUGUCCAGCAGUAAAGAUGUUUGAAGUUUUGUACCAGUUUCCAAUAGAUCAUUUCCUACAACAAUAUUUGUUUUGCAAUCCAAACAAGUAAAUGUCUUGUAAAGAAGUAGAUGUUUCUACAUAUCAACACACCAUUCAAGUUAUUUACAGAAUGAUUUUCUUGGAGCGUUCAUAAUUUCAUGUAUGUUUACAUCAUUAUUCAUGUGUGGGUUGUAUUGUGUUUUCUUUCGUGGGGUGCCGGACACGCUACUGACGGUACUAGCAUGUUUGGGCUGGGGAGACAGAGAUGGUAUGCGGAGUAAGAAGAGUGAUUUAAGGGGAGAGAAAUCAUAACAGGGGUUGGUGGAGCAGAAGAGGGUGAAGGAAGACUUGUGGGGAGCUGCGAGGAAUAGAUUUUGGGGUAUGUUACUAUUUUAUGUGUGAUAUCAGUUCAUAAUUUACUGCAGCGGUCAGUUCUCUACUUUCUAUGUACUAGGUUAAUUCUAUUUGCUAGCCUGAAGUGUUUUUUCUAUAGCAACUAAAUAUUGUGAAAGUAACCCUGAAACAUACACACAUCUACUAAAUGCAAAAUUGUUUCUCUGUUGGUACGAACAAUCAUGUAGAUUACUGCAUGUAGUUUCGUUUUGCACACAACAUACUCUCCAGUAGUGCUGAAAUUAGAAUCUCAAUCCCUGUCCAUUAUACAAGAUGCAAAAGAGUUCAGAAUAAGAUAUCCAUCAUCAUAUUCACGCAUUUUCUGUUGUAAUAUAUAUUUUGUAUUUGUGUACAGGUUGACACAUUACACAUACAUACAGUAUGUCUAACUUAUGCAGAAGAAAAGGGGCCCUUCAUAUAAAUUAUUUGCAUGCUCAUAGUUAUGAACUUAAUACACUUUGCCUGGCAUUCAUAACCAUUAUACUUCCUCCUGCCCAAAUUUGUUGUCCUACGUAAUAGUGUUCCACUUUGCGCCUACCACUGGUAGCUGGAAAUUAGAUAUAAUAAUAAUCAGUUUCCUUGCUAGAUUUGUUUCCUUAUAGGAUAUCCUGCCGAUUUGAUCUAUUUUUGGCUAGAGCACAUGGGAUCAAACCAGAGGUAAUCAAUUUUCUAUGUUCACCUGAUUAGUUAUAAGGAAUUUAUUACCUCUGUUUUAUUUCCAGGAUACCCAAACCAGUGGUAAUGUUUUUUAUGGCUUUGAAAUUCUGUACAAGGUAUUCUCAUGUCUAAAUACUAGAAUUGUUUGUUCAUUGCUAAAUUGUUAAUGAGGGGUCCAUGUAGUGCUCUCAGUGGAGACACUAGACCAUCUGAUGUUCAUUUAGACAUUUCUAUUCAAACUUUCAAAGUGAUUGUUUUCUUUUUGUGUGUCCACACAGUUGUUUGUGUGCAUCCAAUAUAAAACUUGCUAUGAAUUUGCACCACCUACACCCUUUUUCCAUGUCUUAGUCUAUAUGAAUUACCCACUUUAUAUACCGCAAAAAGAAAUUACCCACUUUAUAAUAACUCACAUGUUAAUUAAAAGGAAAAAGAUCUGAACCAUCGACACUCUAUAAGUUAAGUUGUUCAACUAAAAUUUAACAAAGAGAUAUUUGAUUCCAUGGAUCUCUAAUUUUUCUGCAGUGUUGUAAUUAUAUUGUCUCGGGUGUUGUUGUACGUUCCUUGUAUCAUGUUGACUUACUCCUUGAUCAAUAGGGAUGUGGAUACAAAAUUCCAUUUUCCACUACUUAUAUUAUCCUCAUUGGACCUUAAGCUAUAAUCAUCGGUUGUUGUUGUGUGUCUGCCUGCCUGGCAAUGUUUCACCUCUAUUUUUGACCUACUGUUGACUUAUUUGGAACCUGAGAAAGAAUUAUUUUACAUGUUAGAGUACUCUCAUAUGUUCGAAGUCAUAAAACCAGCUGAGAUAAUGAAAUAAUGCCAGGUAAUUACUCGUGGUUUCAAGGUUGCGCAAAGGAGAGGAGGCAUGGUUAUAGGUCCUCGACAACAUCUGCGCCUCAUAGGUCAGCCAUGAUUCUCGGAUUUUUUUGUUCUGCUGUUAUUCCCAAAGAAACAUCGUAGUUCUUUUGGAUGGUGAAAGAUUAUUCAGUUACUGAAAUACUUCUUAUCCAAAGAGCUGGGAAUAUUUAAAACAUCUAAAUUGCUUAUCUCAACACUAUAAUAGAAAGUACUAUCUCGAAAAUAAUAACAAAACACCGUGAUAAACUGGGCACCGAAGCCAUAUUGACACAGACCCAUGAUCAAUGAUAUGUGAGCCAAGUCUUCCCGUGAACUUACAGCCACCCAUUGAGUGCAUGAUUUCUUCCAUCUCCUUUUCUUUUGUUUUCCAGGGCAGAUAUUCCACUGUGCAUCGUAUUUGACCAUACUUAACCAAGUUGAUUCAUAUCAAUUAGUAUCUUUUGGUUUUCUUCCAGUUUAUUAGGCAUGGACCCAGCCACAAAUUCUGAAGCUUCAAUAAUUUGGGUGGUCUAAUAGUUCCUGUAUAGCUUGAUGUCAUAUCAGGUGUAAUAUUUUGUUGUUGCUUGAUGUUGCAUCAAGACAAGCUAGGGUCAACAAGGAACAAAGGGGUUGACACAUGGAGAAGCGGGAGCAUAAAAUUCAAAAGGUACUGAACAUGUGUAUGGAUUACACCGGUGAGUGAAUGGUGUGGCACAUUGAGUCAGAGAGGAGUAGUUGCUUGUCUGGUAUGAAAAACAGUUGUUUCUCGAUUAGAUUAAGGCCAAACUUAUCUUCAACAUGUGUGGUCUUUCAUCACCAUUUUAAAAGAGGUUCAAUGCAAAAUCCUAAGACUGCCAAUUUUUACUAUAUUGGAAGUACUUUAUCGAUACGUUUGGAACAAUUCUCAGAUUCCAUGAAACAUAUUCGUGGCACCAAUUUUAACUAAAGAAUAAAUCAAUC